GGUUGGGGUUGGUGCUGGUAUUAGAGCAGGUGUUGGUGCUGGCGGCAUGGGUGGGGGCGGCGGCAGUGGCGGUGGCCUUAGCGGAGGAGUAGGCACCGGGCUUGGUGGUGGAUCAACUGGUGGAGGAUUUGGCGGCGGAUGGCCAUGAUUCUUGAUGGAAAAUUAGUAAAGCAGUUAAUUAGCAGUGGCGUUAAAGUUAUCGGCCUUAGUGGAGGAGUAGGCUCCGGGCUUGGUGGUGGAUCAAGUGGUGGAGGAUUUGGCGGCGGAUGGCCAUGAUUCUUGAUGGAAAAUUAGUAAACCAGUUAAUUAGCAGUGGCGUUAAAUUAAAGCUAUUGUAUUAUUACCUACUUGGGUUUUGAUUUCAUGUUAUGCUGCUAAGGUUUAGGAAAUCUAUGAGUACGUAGAAUGUAAUGUCGUGUUGGUUAAUAAAUUGAAGGGAAAAAAUGUUUGUUUCGAAGUUGGUUGUGACCAUAUAAAGUGCAG
This 483-nucleotide long non-coding RNA is filed under the name Nicotiana benthamiana. RNAcentral describes it as "long non-coding RNA (NBEN_LNC042139)". Lineage: Eukaryota; Viridiplantae; Streptophyta; Magnoliopsida; Solanales; Solanaceae. The record is from RNAcentral.